AAGUCGUAACAAGGUUUCCGUAGGUGAACCUGCGGAAGGAUCAUUAUUGAAUACGAAUCGGUUCUGAUGCUGGCCCUUCACCGGGCAUGUGCUCGCUCCGAAUCUAUUUAUCUUCUCUUGUGCACCUCUUGUAGUCUUUGAAACUCUCGCAGCAAUGCGGUCUGGGGGACUGGGCUUUUUUAACGGCCCUUCCCCUGCUUCAAGGCUAUGUUUUCAUAUACACUAUAAAGUUACAGAAUGUCUUUUAAAGAUUGUCGCUCGCGCGCAGUCAUUAAACCUAUACAACUUUCAGCAACGGAUCUCUUGGCUCUCCCAUCGAUGAAGAACGCAGCGAAAUGCGAUAAGUAAUGUGAAUUGCAGAAUUCAGUGAAUCAUCGAAUCUUUGAACGCACCUUGCGCCCUUUGGUAUUCCGAAGGGCAUGCCUGUUUGAGUGUCAUUAAAUUCUCAACCUUGCUCGCUUUGCGAGUGGGGCUUGGAUGUGAGGGCUUGCUGGCUUCCUUCAGUGGAUGGUCUGCUCCUUUAAAUGCAUUAGUGGGAUCUCUUGUGGACCGUCACUUGGUGUGAUAAUUAUCUAUGCCUCGUCGACUUUGAAGCAAAAUUAUGGGAACCUGCUUAUAACCGUCUCGCAAGGGACAAUAUCUCUGACAUUUUGACCUCAAAUCAGGUAGGACUACCCGCUGAACUUAAGCAUAUCAAUAAGCGGAGGAAAAGAAACUAACAAGGAUUCCCCUAGUAACUGCGAGUGAAGCGGGAAAAGCUCAAAUUUAAAGUCUGGCGGUCACCCUGGCCGUCCGAGUUGUAAUUUAGAGAAGUGUUAUCCGCGCUGGACCGUGUACAAGUCUCCUGGAAUGGAGCGUCAUAGAGGGUGAGAAUCCCGUAUGUGACUGGGUGCUUUUGCCUAUGUAAAGCUCUUUCGACGAGUCGAGUUGUUUGGGAAUGCAGCUCAAAAUGGGUGGUAUAUUUCAUCUAAAGCUAAAUAUUGGCCAGAGACCGAUAGCGCACAAGUAGAGUGAUCGAAAGAUGAAAAGCACUUUGGAAAGAGAGUUAAACAGUACGUGAAAUUGUUGAAAGGGAAGCGCUUGCAACCAGACUUGCACGCUGUUGAUCAUCCAGGCUUCUGUCUGGUGCACUCGGCAGUGUUCAGGCCAGCAUCGGUUUCGGUGGUGGGAUAAAGGCCUUGGGAAUGUAGCUUCUUUCGGGGAGUGUUAUAGCCCUCGGUGCAAUGCCGCCUAUCGGGACCGAGGACCGCGCUUCGGCUAGGAUGCUGGCGUAAUGGUUGUAAGCGACC
This 1289-nucleotide ribosomal RNA is filed under the name uncultured fungus. RNAcentral describes it as "eukaryotic LSU rRNA". The stretch from base 652 to 1289 matches the Rfam family "Eukaryotic large subunit ribosomal RNA", at positions 1 to 649 of the family's 3401-position model. Lineage: Eukaryota; Fungi. The record is from RNAcentral.